AGGGGGGUUGCGGUCACACCCGCUCGCAGCGAGCGGGAAGAGCUCAAAUUUGAAAGCUGGCGUCCUACGGGCGUCCGCAUUGUAAUCUAUAGAGGCGUUUUCUGUGCUGGACCGUGUCCAAGUCCCUGGAACAGGGUAUCAAAGAGGGUGACAAUCCCGUACUUGACACGACAACCAGUGCUCUGUGAUACGUCUUCUACGAGUCGAGUUGUUUGGGAAUGCAGCUCAAAAUGGGUGGUGAAUUCCAUCUAAAGUAAAUAUUGGCGAGAGACCGAUAGCGAACAAGUACCGUGAGGGAAAGAUGAAAAGCACUUUGGAAAGAGAGUUAAACAGUAUGUGAAAUUGUUGAAAGGGAAACGAUGGAGGUCAGUCGUGUCUGUGGAUUCAGCCGUCUCUGGCGGUGUACUUCCCACAGACGGGUCAACAUCAGUUUUGGCUGGCGGAUAAAGGCAGGAGGAAGGUGGCACCCCCGGGUGUGUUAUAGCCUCUUGUUGCAUACGCUGGCUGAACUGAGGAAUGCAGCUCGCCUUUAUGGCCGGGGUUCGCCCACGUUCGAGCUUAGGAUGUUGACAUAAUGGCCUUCAACGACCCGUCUUGAAACCACGGACCACUGCAUACCUUUUUGCGGAGGAAAGAUUCUGUCUUUUUUUUUAAAAAAAAAAACAUUUUUUUUUUUAAGAAAAAAAAAAUCUUUUUUUUUUUUUUAAAAAAAAACACGUUUUUUUUUUGUAUAAAAAAAAUACUUUUCUCUUUUAUGAGGAGAGACGCUCUCUAUUCAUAUAGAGAGAGAGCUGUCUGUUAUACAAAAGAGAGUCGUGUGCGUAUAGAGUACAU
Molecule: ribosomal RNA, 834 nt
Filed under: Saitozyma podzolica
Lineage: Eukaryota; Fungi; Basidiomycota; Tremellomycetes; Tremellales; Trimorphomycetaceae
Description: partial 26S ribosomal RNA
Rfam family: Eukaryotic large subunit ribosomal RNA (bases 1-606)
Source: RNAcentral